CGGACGGGUGAGUAACGCGUGGAAAACCUGCCGUAUACUGGGGGAUAACACUUAGAAAUAGGUGCUAAUACCGCAUAAGCGCACAGCUUCGCAUGAAGCGGUGUGAAAAACUCUGGUGGUAUACGAUGGUUUCGCGUCUGAUUAGCUAGUUGGUGGGGUAAUGGCCUACCAAGGCAACGAUCAGUAGCCGGCCUGAGAGGGUGAACGGCCACAUUGGGACUGAGACACGGCCCAAACUCCUACGGGAGGCAGCAG
RNAcentral lists this ribosomal RNA (255 nucleotides) under uncultured bacterium. RNAcentral describes it as "partial 16S ribosomal RNA". It matches the Rfam family "Bacterial small subunit ribosomal RNA", at positions 99 to 354 of the family's 1533-position model. The record is from RNAcentral.